This 380-nucleotide ribosomal RNA is filed under the name uncultured eukaryote. Its description in RNAcentral is "partial 18S ribosomal RNA". It matches the Rfam family "Eukaryotic small subunit ribosomal RNA", at positions 592 to 976 of the family's 1831-position model. The record is from RNAcentral.
CAAUAGCGUAUAUUAAAGUUGUUGCGGUUAAAAAGCUCGUAGUUGGAGUUCUGCCAGGUGACACUCGUCCGCCCAAGUGGUGUGUACAGGGUGUGCAUCUGGCCCUUUCAAGGGGAACGUGUCUGCACUUCAUUGUGUGGUGCGAGAUCCUUGACUUUUACUUUGAGGAAAUAAGAGUGUUCCAAGCAGGCUCUCGUCGUGCAUAGCUCAGCAUGGAAUAAUAGCAUUGGACUUCGUUUCUACGCUGUUGGUUGCAAGAAGCGAGGUAAUGAUGAAGAGGGAUAGUUGGGGGCAUUCGUAUUUAACUGUCAGAGGUGAAAUUCUUGGAUUUGUCAAAGACGGACUACUGCGAAAGCAUCUGCCAUGGAUGUUUUCAUUGA